UGCCAGCCGCCGCGGUAAUACGUAGGGAGCGAACGUUAUCCGGAAUUAUUGGGCGUAAAGCGUGCGUAGGCGGUUCGUUAAGUCAAAUCUGAAAGCCCACAGCUUAACUGUGGAGGGUGAUUUGAAACUGGCGAGCUUGAGUAGGUUAUAGGUAAUUGGAAUUUUUAGUGAAGCGGUAAAAUGCGUAGAUAUUAAAAGGAACAUCAAAAGCGAAAGCAAAUUACUGGGACCUUACUAACACUUAGAGACGAAAGCUAAGGUAGCAAAUGGGAUUAGAUA
This 279-nucleotide ribosomal RNA is filed under the name uncultured bacterium. RNAcentral's name for it is "partial 16S ribosomal RNA". It matches the Rfam family "Bacterial small subunit ribosomal RNA", at positions 506 to 784 of the family's 1533-position model. The record is from RNAcentral.